This is a long non-coding RNA of Lagenorhynchus albirostris (white-beaked dolphin), 512 nucleotides long. RefSeq lists it as uncharacterized. The transcript has 4 exons. The record is from RefSeq and is a predicted model, not a curated record. Lineage: Eukaryota; Metazoa; Chordata; Mammalia; Artiodactyla; Delphinidae.
UAUCCUCCGGAUGAAAGGGGACUUUGGAAAACAAAGAGGAAAGAGAACCAGAUUCCUUCCUCACGGGAAUGACUGCAUUGCUGCCCUGUGUGGCUAAGAGAUUAUAAGCUUCAGGAGGGAAGAGGCUUUGAAUGAACAUAAUGGUCCCUUGGUCAGAGAUACUGAAGGAUAAGGGGCUGAGUGCUUUGUUUUACACUUGCUGACUCUUAAAAGAACCACAAAAGAGGUUGACUGUGGUCCUGCUCCAUAUAUCUUCACUCUGGGAUCCAGGCUGAGCAGCAGGGGCAUUGCUGGGAGUGAGACAAGAGACUUCUCUUGUAGAUCUGUAUGAACCAGACAUUCAUCCUGCAUUGGGGUUGGCCAACUGAUUACUGCUCAUGGGCCGGAUCUGGCCCACUACUUGUUUUUGUAUGGCUUGUGAGAGAAGAAUGGUGUUUAGAUUUGUAAAAGGUUGAAAAAAAUCAAAAGAAGAAUAAUAUUUUGUGAGAUGUGAAACUUACAUGAAAUUGAGA